Molecule: ribosomal RNA, 254 nt
Filed under: uncultured bacterium
Lineage: Bacteria
Description: partial 16S ribosomal RNA
Rfam family: Bacterial small subunit ribosomal RNA
Source: RNAcentral
UACGUAGGGGGCUAGCGUUGUCCGGAAUCAUUGGGCGUAAAGCGCGCGCAGGCGGUCGCGUAAGUCUGCUGUGAAAUCUCCCUGGCUCAACCGGGAGGGGGCGGCGGAGACUGCGGGACUGGAGGGACCUAGAGGCCGGUGGAAUUCCCGGUGUAGUGGUGAAAUGCGUAGAGAUCGGGAGGAACACCUGUGGCGAAGGCGGCUACCUGGACCGGUUCUGACGCUGAGGCGCGAAAGCGUGGGUAGCAAACAGG